GACGAACGCUGGCGGCGUGCUUAACACAUGCAAGUCGAACGGAAAGGCCCUGCUUUUGUGGGGUGCUCGAGUGGCGAACGGGUGAGUAACACGUGAGUAACCUGCCCUUGACUUUGGGAUAACUUCAGGAAACUGGGGCUAAUACCGGAUAGGAGCUCCUGCUGCAUGGUGGGGGUUGGAAAGUUUCGGCGGUUGGGGAUGGACUCGCGGCUUAUCAGCUUGUUGGUGGGGUAGUGGCUUACCAAGGCUUUGACGGGUAGCCGGCCUGAGAGGGUGACCGGGCACAUUGGGACUGAGAUAAGGCCCCGACUCCUACGGGAGGCAGCAGUGGGGAAUAUUGCACAAUGGGCGGAAGCCUGAUGCAGCAACGCCGCGGGCGGGAUGGCGGCCUUCGGGUUUUAAACCGCUUUCGCCUGUGGCGAAGCGUGAGUGAAGGUAAUGGGUAAAGAAGCACCGGCUAACUACGUG
This 468-nucleotide ribosomal RNA is filed under the name uncultured bacterium. RNAcentral describes it as "partial 16S ribosomal RNA". It matches the Rfam family "Bacterial small subunit ribosomal RNA", at positions 28 to 507 of the family's 1533-position model. The record is from RNAcentral.